UCGAGAAUUUUUCUCAAUGGGGGAAACCCUGAAGGAGCGACGCCGCGUGGAGGAUGAAGGUCUUCGGAUUGUAAACUCCUGUCAUUUGGGAACAAGUUGCAGCGAUUAACUGUCGUUGCAUUGAUAGUACCAGAAGAGGAAGAGACGGCUAACUCUGUGCCAGCAGCCGCGGUAAUACAGAGGUCUCAAGCGUUGUUCGGAUUCAUUGGGCGUAAAGGGUGCGUAGGUGGCGGGGUAAGUCUGGUGUGAA
RNAcentral lists this ribosomal RNA (250 nucleotides) under uncultured bacterium. Its description in RNAcentral is "partial 16S ribosomal RNA". It matches the Rfam family "Bacterial small subunit ribosomal RNA", at positions 355 to 598 of the family's 1533-position model. The record is from RNAcentral.